AACGAACGCUGGCGGCAGGCCUAACACAUGCAAGUCGAGCGCCCCGCAAGGGGAGCGGCGGACGGGUGAGUAACGCGUGGGAAUAUGCCCUUUGCUACGGAAUAGUCUCGGGAAACUGGGGGUAAUACCGUAUACGCCCUUUGGGGGAAAGAUUUAUCGGCGAAGGAUUAGCCCGCGUUGGAUUAGGUAGUUGGUGGGGUAAUGGCCUACCAAGCCGACGAUCCAUAGCUGGUUUGAGAGGAUGAUCAGCCACACUGGGACUGAGACACGGCCCAGACUCCUACGGGAAGCAGCAGUGGGGAAUCUUAGACAAUGGGGGCAACCCUGAUCGAGCCAUGCCGCGUGAGUGAUGAAGGCCUUAGGGUUGUAAAGCUCUUUCAGCUGGGAAGAUAAUGACGGUACCAGCAGAAGAAGCCCCGGCUAACUCCGUG
This 431-nucleotide ribosomal RNA is filed under the name uncultured bacterium. RNAcentral's name for it is "partial 16S ribosomal RNA". It matches the Rfam family "Bacterial small subunit ribosomal RNA", at positions 29 to 507 of the family's 1533-position model. The record is from RNAcentral.